This is a small nucleolar RNA of Fukomys damarensis (Damara mole-rat), 103 nucleotides long. Lineage: Eukaryota; Metazoa; Chordata; Mammalia; Rodentia; Bathyergidae. The record is from Ensembl.
UGUACUAUUUAGCUUCUAGACAUAGAGAUACAGAAAACAAACCCUCUUUUACAAGCCAGAACUCAUUGUUCAGUAUGUUUUGAUAUAUAUAAAAAGGAAUGUG